This 326-nucleotide long non-coding RNA is filed under the name Citrus sinensis (sweet orange). RNAcentral's name for it is "long non-coding RNA (CSIN_LNC004067)". Lineage: Eukaryota; Viridiplantae; Streptophyta; Magnoliopsida; Sapindales; Rutaceae. The record is from RNAcentral.
GUGAAGCACUUUCGGAGUUUUGACUUUCCAUGUGAUGAAUACCUUCCUGUUUGCUUCAGUCCAGCCCGCGAUGGCACAAGAAAGAAUGUGAAACAAAGCACUGUUGGCAAAUGUAGAGGCACUAGCUAGUGUUUGGGAGGCUUCCAAGAACAUGCGUCAUCAAAUCAAACCGUAACUCAGUGUUAAAUUUUUGUGGCUUUGACAUGACACGUGAUGAUGAGGAUGGUGGUACAUGCUUUGGUUUAAUGGCUUGCUUGUUGCUGUCACUUUCAUGGCUUGUGGUGGUGGGUUAGUGUUUGAUGAAACCUCUUUUUAUUUGUUUUAAA